UGCUUCAAUAUAAAUGCCGAUUGGCGCAAAAAGAACUUGCGUCUCUUACUAAUCGCAGUUAUCGCUCCAAAAGUAAUUUUUCCAAUAAGCUGUGAUGGCCAACGUUUGGAUGUUGGUAUUAUCACUGGAGCUGCUCUUUCUUAUUGUGCAAGCGGGAGAAGCAAAUUUGUUUUUGAAGGGUUGCUGCCCGUUAAAGGAGUUGACUUUUACGCCUAAAACAGAUUUCGCAUGCGAAAAUAUUCCGGGUGCAUUCACUAAAGACGACGUAUGUGCUUACCAGCCGUGUGGAAAAAAGCGCUGUUGCGGCACCGGCUGGUGCAAUAUGCUCUGCUGCAACUGCCGAGGGGGAUGCGAGGAUCAAUCUAAUAUUAACUAUUUUUUGCGUCACUUCCAAAAGUGUUGCAUAAGAGAUGUGAUUUCAGUUCGGAAUAUAAGCCCAUAAAAAGAUCAGACGACCCAAAUAGAGCUGGCAAUAUUAAAACUCACAUAGAUAUUAUUUGAUCAGAGGCAAAUCUUGAACACAAAAAUAAAGUGUGAGAUAUUUGUUCCAAG
Long non-coding RNA from Drosophila montana, 552 nucleotides. RefSeq lists it as uncharacterized. The record is from RefSeq and is a predicted model, not a curated record. NCBI's taxonomy places the organism in Eukaryota, Metazoa, Arthropoda, Insecta, Diptera, Drosophilidae. The transcript has 2 exons.